This 478-nucleotide ribosomal RNA is filed under the name uncultured bacterium. RNAcentral's name for it is "partial 16S ribosomal RNA". It matches the Rfam family "Bacterial small subunit ribosomal RNA", at positions 28 to 507 of the family's 1533-position model. The record is from RNAcentral.
GAUGAACGCUGGCGGCGUGCUUAACACAUGCAAGUCGAACGAGAAGUGAAGACGGAACCCUUCGGGCGGAAGGCUUUAUUUCGAGUGGCGGACGGGUGAGUAACGCGUGGGUAACCUGCCUCAUACAGGGGGAUAACAGUUGAAAACGACUGUUAAUACCGCAUAAGACCACAGCACCGCAUGGUGCGGGGGUAAAAACUCCGGUGGUAUGAGAUGGACCCGCGUUCGAUUAGCCAGUUGGCGGGGUAACGGCCCACCAAAGCGACGAUCGAUAGCCGAUCUGAGAGGAUGACCGGCCACAUUGGGACUGAGACACGGCCCAAACUCCUACGGGAGGCAGCAGUGGGGAAUAUUGCACAAUGGGGGAAACCCUGAUGCAGCGACGCCGCGUGAGUGAAGAAGUAUUUCGGUAUGUAAAGCUCUAUCAGCAGGGAAGAAAAUGACGGUACCUGAGUAAGAAGCCCCGGCUAACUACGUG